RNAcentral lists this ribosomal RNA (484 nucleotides) under Cryptosporidium canis. Its description in RNAcentral is "SSU rRNA". It matches the Rfam family "Eukaryotic small subunit ribosomal RNA", at positions 560 to 1081 of the family's 1831-position model. Lineage: Eukaryota; Apicomplexa; Conoidasida; Eucoccidiorida; Cryptosporidiidae. The record is from RNAcentral.
UCUGGUGCCAGCAGCCGCGGUAAUUCCAGCUCCAAUAGCGUAUAUUAAAGUUGUUGCAGUUAAAAAGCUCGUAGUUGGAUUUCUGUUAAUAAUUUAUAUAUAAUAUUUAACAUAUUUAUAUAAUAUUAACAUAAUUCAUAUUACUAUUUAUAGUAUAUGAAACUUUACUUUGAGAAAAUUAGAGUGCUUAAAGCAGGCUUUUGCCUUGAAUACUAGAGCAUGGAAUAAUAUUAAAGAUUUUUAUCUUUCUUAUUGGUUCUAAGAUAGAAAUAAUGAUUAAUAGGGACAGUUGGGGGCAUUUGUAUUUAACAGUUAGAGGUGAAAUUCUUAGAUUUGUUAAAGACAAACUAAUGCGAAAGCAUUUGCCAAGGAUGUUUUCAUUAAUCAAGAACGAAAGUUAGGGGAUCGAAGACGAUCAGAUACCGUCGUAGUCUUAACCAUAAACUAUGCCAACUAGAGAUUGGAGGUUGUUCCUUACUCCUUC